RNAcentral lists this ribosomal RNA (268 nucleotides) under uncultured bacterium. RNAcentral's name for it is "partial 16S ribosomal RNA". The record is from RNAcentral.
CUGCUGCCUCCCGUAGGAGUUUGGGCCGUGUCUCAGUCCCAAUGUGGCCGUCCACCCUCUCAGGCCGGCUACUGAUCGUCGCCUUGGUGGGCCCCUACCCCGCCAACAAGCUAAUCAGACGCGGGUCCAUCUUACACCACCGGAGUUUUUCACACCGGGCCAUGCGGCCCUGUGCGCUUAUGCGGUAUUAGCACCUGUUUCCAGGUGUUAUCCCCCUGUGUUAAAGGCAGGUUACCCACGCGUUACUCACCCGUCCGCCACUCGAACU